UAGGGAAUAUUGCACAAUGGGCGCAAGCCUGAUGCAGCAACGCCGCGUGCGCGAAGAAGGCCUUCGGGUCGUAAAGCGCUUUUCGGGGAGAAGAGGAAGGACGGUAUCCCCGGAAGAAGGCUCGGCUAACUACGUGCCAGCAGCCGCGGUAAAACGUAGGAGCCAAGCGUUAUCCGAAUUCACUGGGCGUAAAGCGCGUGCAGGCGGCCUGGUAAGUUGGCUGUGAAAUCUCCUGGCUCAACUGGGAGAGGCCGGUCAAUACUGUCAGGCUCGAGGGCGACAGAGGGAGGUGGAAUUCCGGGUGUAGUGGUGAAAUGCGUAGAUAUCCGGAGGAACACCAGAGGCGAAGGCGACCUCCUGGGUCGUACCUGACGCUCAGAUGCGAAAGCUAGGGGAGCGAACGGGAUUAGAAACCCCGGUAGUCCUAGCCGUAAACGAUGUAGACUGGGUGUCGGCGGGGUAAAAGCCGUCGGUGCCGAAGCCAACGCGAUAAGUCUACCGCCU
This 504-nucleotide ribosomal RNA is filed under the name uncultured Chloroflexota bacterium. RNAcentral's name for it is "bacterial SSU rRNA". It matches the Rfam family "Bacterial small subunit ribosomal RNA", at positions 355 to 874 of the family's 1533-position model. Lineage: Bacteria; Bacillati; Chloroflexota. The record is from RNAcentral.